This 1829-nucleotide long non-coding RNA is filed under the name Homo sapiens (human). RNAcentral describes it as "HSALNT0139128". The record is from RNAcentral. Lineage: Eukaryota; Metazoa; Chordata; Mammalia; Primates; Hominidae.
GUAAAGGAAAUACGUGAACAUUUGUUGAUUAUUAAUAUGGUUUGGCUGUGUCCCCACCAAAUCUCAACUUAAAUUGUAUCUCCCAGAAUUCCCACAUGUCACAGGAGGGACCCAGGUGGAGGUAAUUGAAUCGUGGUCGGGCGGGGGGGAAGGGGGUGGUCUUGCCGUGCUGUUCUCGUGAUAGUGAGUACCUCUCACGAGAUCUGAUGAGUUUAUCAGGAGUUUCCGCUUUUGCUUCUUCCUCAUCGUCUCUUGCCGCUGCCAUGAAAGGAGUGCUUUUUGCCUCCCACCAUGAUUCUGAGGCCUCCCCAGCCAUGUAGAAUUAGCCAGCCUGUUUUUGAUGAAGAGCAACUGUACUGGAGAGAAAGCCUGUAUUCAUAUUCAUCGUCAUCAGGCAAAUCGAGGAGCUGACUUGCUUAGGAUCACUUUACAGAAUUCUUUCUCAAGAGGAUUUAGACUCCUUUUCUAUUGAUAGGGCAUAAGAAUUGACUCAGACCUAGAAACUGGCUGGGACCAUCUCAUAAUGUUUGUGUACAUUCCUGUUGUCUUCUACCUCCCAUCCACCGUGUCUCUCUACUGCCUAUAACCAGCCUACAUAAGGCCCUGAACAGACUGGAUGAUGCCCACCCACACGGAUGAAGGGCGGAUGUUGUUUACUCAGUCUGCUGAUUCCAACGCUAAUCUUUUCCAGAAACACCAUCACAGACACACCGAGAAAUAAUGCUUUAUCACCUAUGUGGGCAUUCUUGAGCCCAAUCAAGUUGCCACAUGAAAUUUACCAUCACACCUACCUGUCCACCUCUGCCCACACCUACUUUAAGUUUAACCCAAUAAUAAAUGAGACUUAAUCUCAUUUUUAGAGCCCUCCAAUGAAAAAUUUGUUAUUGUACUUCAUAAGACUUUUUGAUAUUUAACAGGUCUCAAGAAAGAUUUUUUUUGGCAAAAGCCAUACUUACACAAAGAAGACAUGGGUUUUAGACUGACUUUGGCCCUUUCUACCUGUAGGGUCACAUACUUUCACAAUAUGGACAAAAUGAUGCUACUGUGCCUUUCCCACAGGAUUGCUGUAUAAAUCAUUUGUGAAUUCUAAGAUUAUUGAGAUGAUUAUGCUUAUGAAUAUCUUAUUAUAUAAUAACUUUUCCCAUUUUAAAAAGAAUUGCAUUUAUAGACAUAAAUGACUAAGGUGGCUUUUAAAAUUCCCGAAGAAAAUCUUUUUAGAUAUAUACCAUUCUAAUGACUUGUAUUUAUUAGACAAGUCUGGAUUUAAAAAUGGGAGUUUAUAGUCAUUUAAGCCAACUAAUAAUAAUAUCUAAGGAGCCUGGAUGAGUAAAGACUCUUCAAUUCACAGUCAAAUGCCAAGUGAGGCUUAUAUUUUCGUUAGGAAAGUUUCGCCAGGGUGAUUGUUUUAAUUACUUUUAUUGGAAUAACAGUAGCUAAUAAAGCAAUCCAGAUUGUUACCAAGCUCAGUAGGAGAGAAAAUAAUAGGAUGUCUUCACAUCUUAUGACUAGAAAUCAUGUCCUCAGAUACUUUGUUUCUUCCUCUUUCAUUGUGGUGUGAAAAGUAGAAAGAAAGCUCCCCUCUGCAGGGGAAGUUUUAUAGAGAUGGUAACCUGGUUAUACUCUGUCUUUUAGGAAUCCUUGCAGAGUUGGGAAUAGCACAUUUCUCACUAUAUAUAUAUAUAUAUAUAUAUAUAUAUAUAUAUAUAUAAUAUAUAUAUGGUAAUUUUUGUGUGGAUUUAUAUUACCUUUGAUCCCCAGACAUUGUUUGAAAAACUUGAGGAAGGAGGAAAAAGAAUCAGAUGGUGACGGAACUCAUGUGGCUGACUGAG